This 1509-nucleotide ribosomal RNA is filed under the name uncultured Mycoplasmataceae bacterium. RNAcentral describes it as "16S ribosomal RNA". It matches the Rfam family "Bacterial small subunit ribosomal RNA". The record is from RNAcentral. Lineage: Bacteria; Bacillati; Mycoplasmatota; Mollicutes; Mycoplasmatales; Mycoplasmataceae.
GUUUGAUCAUGGCUCAGGAUUAACGCUGGCGGCAUGCCUAAUACAUGCAAGUCGAACGAAAUUUCUUUUUUAAGAAAUUGAGUGGCGAACGGGUGAGUAAUGUAUGUUCAAUCUGCCUCAAAGUGGGGAAUAACUGUUGGAAACGACAGCUAAUACCCCAUAGGGUAAUACAAGGCAUCUUGUAUUGCUUAAAGGUGCAUUUUGCAUCGCUAUGAGAUGAGAACAUAUCACAUUAGCUUGUUGGUGGGGUAAUGGCCCACCAAGGCAAUGAUGUGUAGCCGGACUGAGAGGUUGAACGGCCACAAUGGGACUGAGACACGGCCCAUACUCCUACGGGAGGCAGCAGUAGGGAAUAUUUCACAAUGGACGAAAGUCUGAUGAAGCAAUGCCGCGUGAAGGAAGAAGGUUUUCGAAUCGUAAACUUCUGUUAUAAGGGAAGAAAAUCUAAAAUAGGAAAUGAUUUUAGCUUGACGGUACUUUAUUAGAAAGUCACGGCAAACUAUGUGCCAGCAGCCGCGGUAAUACAUAGGUGGCGAGCGUUAUCCGGAUUUAUUGGGCGUAAAGAGUGCACAGGUUGUUUAUUAAGUCAAUUGUUAAAUACCGAAGCUUAACUUCGGUCCGCAGUUGAAACUAGUAAACUAGAAUGCAGGUGGGGACAGUGGAAUUCCAUGUGUAGCGGUGGAAUGCAUAAAUAUAUGGAGGAACACCAGUGGCGAAGGCGGCUGUCUGAACUGUAAUUGACACUUAAGCACGAAAGCGUGGGGAGCAAAUAGGAUUAGAUACCCUAGUAGUCCACGCUGUAAACGAUCUAGACUAGUUGUUGCCAAAAAGGCAGUAACGCAGCUAACGCAUUAAGUCUAGCGCCUGGGUAGUAUGCACGCAAGUGUGAAACUCAAAGGAAUUGACGGGGACCCGCACAAGUGGUGGAGCAUGUGGUUUAAUUCGAUGAUACGCGAAGAACCUUACCUACGUUUGACAUACUUGGCAAAACUAUAGAGAUAUAGUGGAGGUUAACCAAUGUACAGGUGGUGCAUGGUUGUCGUCAGCUCGUGUCGUGAGAUGUUCGGUUAAGUCCGGUAACGAGCGCAACCCCUUUCUUAUGUUACUAACAAGUAAUGUUGAGGACUCAUGAGAUACUGCCUGGGUAACCAGGAGGAAGGUGGGGAUGACGUCAAAUCAUCAUGCCCCUUAUACGUAGGGCUACACACGUGCUACAAUGGCUGUUACAAAGGGCUGCCAAACCGUAAGGUGGAGCCAAUCUCAAAAAAACAGUCUCAGUUCGGAUUGAAGUCUGCAAUUUGACUUUAUGAAGCUGGAAUCACUAGUAAUCGCAGGUCAGCAAUACUGCGGUGAAUACGUUCUCGGGUCUUGUACACACCGCCCGUCAAACCACGAAAGUCGGUAAUGCCUGAAACCGCUGUUCUAACCUUUAAUGAAAUUCGUUUCUUUAGAGGAGGAAGGCGUCUAGGGUAGGAUUGGUGAUUGGGGUUAAGUCGUAACAAGGUAACC